This 76-nucleotide transfer RNA is filed under the name Candidatus Peregrinibacteria bacterium. RNAcentral describes it as "tRNA-Lys". It matches the Rfam family "tRNA". From Rfam's summary of the family: Transfer RNA (tRNA) molecules are approximately 80 nucleotides in length. Their secondary structure includes four short double-helical elements and three loops (D, anti-codon, and T loops). Further hydrogen bonds mediate the characteristic L-shaped molecular structure. tRNAs have two regions of fundamental functional importance: the anti-codon, which is responsible for specific mRNA codon recognition, and the 3' end, to which the tRNAs corresponding amino acid is attached (by aminoacyl-tRNA synthetases). tRNAs cope with the degeneracy of the genetic code in two manners: having more than one tRNA (with a specific anti-codon) for a particular amino acid; and 'wobble' base-pairing, i.e. permitting non-standard base-pairing at the 3rd anti-codon position. The record is from RNAcentral. Lineage: Bacteria; Candidatus Peregrinibacteriota.
GGGUCAUUAGCUCAGUUGGUAGAGCAGUCGCCUCUUAAGCGAACGGUCACUGGUUCGAGCCCAGUAUGACCCACCA